RNAcentral lists this ribosomal RNA (465 nucleotides) under uncultured bacterium. RNAcentral's name for it is "partial 16S ribosomal RNA". It matches the Rfam family "Bacterial small subunit ribosomal RNA", at positions 28 to 507 of the family's 1533-position model. The record is from RNAcentral.
GACGAACGCUGGCGGCGUGCUUAACACAUGCAAGUCGAACGGAAAGGCCCCUUUGGGGGUACUCGAGUGGCGAACGGGUGAGUAACACGUGAGUAACCUGCCCUUGACUUCGGGAUAACUUCAGGAAACUGGGGCUAAUACCGGAUAGGAAUCCUUGCUGCAUGGUGGGGGUUGGAAAGCUUCGGCGGUUUUGGAUGGACUCGCGGCUUAUCAGCUUGUUGGUGGGGUAGUGGCUUACCAAGGCUUUGACGGGUAGCCGGCCUGAGAGGGCGACCGGCCACAUUGGGACUGGGAGACGGCCCAGACUACUACGGGAGGCAGCAGUGGGGAGUAUUGCACAAUGGGCGGAAGCCUGAUGCAGCAACGCCGCGUGCGGGAGGACGGCCUUCGGGUUGUAAACCGCUUUCAGCAGGGGCGAAGCUUGUGGUGACGGUACCUGCAGAAGAAGCACCGGCUAACUACGUG